CGAGAAAGAUAACAUUGGGGAUAUCAUUAUGUGAAACAAAUGGUCAAUUAUCGAUGUCUGCGCCCAACAAAAGAAAUCAGCAUGUGUACGUCAAAACAGAAGUAUUGGAAGUGUGAGUGAGCCCCUUUUUGGAGCGAAAAAUAAAAUGUAAGCGCUGAAACUAACAAAUCAGGCGAAGCUCUUAAACAGGUACGUAUAUAAAGCGAUAUGUGCAACGGAAAAGCUAGACGGAACACAUCAAUCCAGAAUUGCGAAAAAAGUACAGAGCGGACCGAGAAAUCAGUCAGUUAGAACUCGGCAGAGCAGUGCAACAGUACGGUGAACAUCUCAGCAAGAAUAGCAACAAAAGAAGUGAAUUUCUAAAAAAAAAAUAUCUGGAAGGAAAUUGCUACACUUAAAUUUUAAAAGUGCUUACUUUUGUUACAUUUGUGCAAACAAAUUUGCGGGAUAAACUGAUUUUUAAUAUAUAGUACAUUUCAUUAAAUAACGAAAGUGAAUAAGCAUCAUAAGUGAAGUUUUGACAUACACACCCUCCAUUUAUGUAGGGGUGCUUUGGAAUAGAAAGGACACUGGCCUAUCGAAGGUGAAGAGGCAGAAACGCAACGUCAUCAGCCUUUUGACACCGAAAACGACAUUUUCGGCUGCAUUGUGUUUAUAACCGCCAGACUAUACAUGCGCUUAUUUUUAUAUUGCUAUUUAGCACAAAGAUUUACUGCGACAAGGUGACAAAAAGGAGUUUAAUAUCGGGCUUUACAGCCAGAGAUUAUUGGACAAAUGGCAAUAGGAAAUAUUGAAUACAUUAAAUAAAACGAAACUUUAGAAUAUACUAGACUGUAAGAACAAAGCGUGUUAAGAACCAAAUUAAAAACGCAGAGCGGAGAUUUACGAAUACAUAUGUAUAUUCAUUCACCAUUGAAUGUUGUUAUGCUGCAAAGGACACGUAGGCACAACUGAAGGUAGAGCAAGCAAAAAUGCCUACCCAACUUCAUCAUUAGUAUACCGCGAUAUGCAGAGGUGAAAAGGACAUAUGCCACAAAUUAUACUACAUACAUAUAUCAACGUUCAAAAAACACACAGUGGUUGAGCGAGUAAAAAAACAAUAAUAUUAAACUUCAGACUUCCUAUUUAUUUAUUAAAAAUUUAAUUUACGUCAGCAAAGUGUUCAGAAGAUCAUCCCACACAUAAUAACAGUUUUAAUUAAAAACAAUAAAGUUUGAGUGUUCGCGUGACAAUUAUGAGCUAAAGAAAAUAAUGUUUAUUUAAAAAUAUAAAAAUAAAUAAGUGAUAACAAAUAACUGUCAUUCAGAAGACUACUAUAUAUACAGCAAAUAAUACGAAUGCUAACUUAUUUUCACUAUAAGAAAAUAUGUAUUUAUUAUAGUUUGAAACCAAAGUUAACAGUCUCAUCGAAAAUCGUGCACAAAUUCCCGGAUACAAUUAAAAGAGGAGCUACAAGUAAAACGAUUCUUUGCAACAUUCACUUAAGAGAAGACAACAACAAAAUUUCAAGAUGCGAUUAUUUCCGGUGCGUUUAUCGAACAUUACAAAAAUGCUCGAUAUGUACUCGCAGUUCAAUCCAUCACCUUUGUCUAUAAAACAAUUUAUGGAUUUCGGUCAAAAUGCAUGCGAGAAGAAAUCCUUUAUAUUCCUGCGUAAAGAGCUGCCCGUACGUCUGGCGAAUAUCAUGAAGGAGAUCGCGUUGCUGCCCGACCAUUUGCUAAACACCCAAUCAGUGAGCCAGGUGAGCUCAUGGUACGUGCAAAGCUUUGAGGAGGUACUGGAGUUUGAAAAGGCAGAACCGACGCAUAGUAAUUUGGAAAAGUUUUGCAACACUUUGGUGCACAUACGCAACAGACACAGUGAUGUGGUGCAAACAAUGGCUCAAGGCGUCAUCGAAAUGAAGGAGCAUCAGGGCGGCCCCGUUGAUUGCGGCAUGGAAUCGUCGAUACAAUACUUCCUCGAUCGUUUAUACAUGUCGCGCAUUAGCAUACGAAUGCUAAUCAAUCAGCACACUAUACUAUUUGGACAGUUCCCCAACGAGCAGGGUCGUCAUAUUGGCUGCUUGGAUCCGGCCUGUCAGAUCUCGUCGGUGGUAAGAGAUGCUUAUGAAAACGCACGCUUUCUCUGCGAUCAAUACUAUCUGAUCAGUCCGGAACUGGAAAUCACUGAGCAUAAUCCACACGACAAAGCAAAUAAUCCCAUACGCACUGUUUAUGUGCCCUCGCAUUUAUACCACAUGCUUUUCGAGCUGUUUAAGAAUUCCAUGCGUGCUGUGGUGGAAAAUAACGAUCAGGAUAAAUGUGAAAAGCUGCCACCCAUUAAGGUGCUCAUAGCGGAGGGCAAGGAAGAUAUAUGUGUGAAGAUCUCAGACCAAGGUGGCGGCAUUCCACGUUCACAAACCGAUCAGUUGUUCAAAUACAUGUACAGCACUGCGCCACAGCCAUCAAAAUCCGAUCUACAUACAGUGCCAUUAGCUGGAUAUGGCUAUGGCCUGCCCAUUUCGCGUUUGUAUGCACGCUAUUUCCAUGGUGAUAUUGUGUUGUUGUCAUGCGAAGGAUAUGGCACCGAUGCGAUUAUUUAUAUGAAGGCACUAUCAGAUGAAGCUAACGAGCUCCUGCCCAUUUUCAACAAGACGAGCUCGAAAUUUUAUCGCGCCACCGUGCCCACUGGCGAUUGGUCUAACCAGAAUUUUUCCAACCGUUGGCGUUAUAUAUAUAGUCUCUUCACGUCCAAAAACAAUUAGCGUAUGUUUUAUUCUAAAAUGCUUGACUCAUUUAAAUUGGUUUUUAUUUAUGAUGAAAGAGCUCUGACAUGAAUGCAAGGCAGUUGAAUGCUUCGGCACCGAAGCGCUACAAUGACAUGUUAUAGACCGAACCGACGAGGGACUCGGCAGUUGAGCACAGAAAGCUAACGGUAGCAGUUGCAGAACCAGCAAAUCUAUUGAUAUCACAAGCUCAGGAGCAUUUGUUGAACGAUAAGGAAUGAAGAGCAAUGGUAUAGAUGAAAGAGUUGUUAGGAAGGAAGUGUAAACCAAUUUUCGGAUUAAUCAAUUGACGUAACCCAAUCAGCACAAGACCUUUAACUUAUCAAAAGGACGAGCAUAAAAAUUAAUCACGGCGUUAUUCAGGAAAUAUUGAAAACGGUUUUCUAACUGAUAACGGAAAUUUUGCAACAAGUAGUAAAUCAAAACCCCAAAAAGUGGAAAGAAAUUAAAAAAUUAUGAAAAUUUUGCAAUAAGUAGAAAGUGAGCGAGCAUUGUAACUAAUCAAGCUGAGAAUUAUGUAACCAAUAGUAAAAAGUCAAAAGGCACGCGUGCGAAUAAAAAAUACAAUUAAUUAAAGAAAACUCAAGUAAAAAUAUCAUGCACAAGUUGGAGAGGUUUGUAGGUUCGUAAUUUAGAAUUAUGUCAUUGCGCUAAAAUUCGCCGGCGUUUGAUGAAAAGCACUUUCGGCAAGGCUUUGCUACCAUCGUGUGGGAAUUUGCCUUUGUGCGCAAACAGUCAGUCACGGCGAUGAUUUCAAUUGCACAUAUACACACAUAGUACAUAAAUGCAUAUAUACAUUUACAAGUCGUAGAAUUAUGUAAGCAAACACAUUUUCAAACGCAUAAUUUAUUAGCAAAAAACAUUCCCCUCAAAAGUCCAUAAACAUUUAUUCACUCGGCACUUUAAGCUCACAGCCAUUUGCACUUUUAUUCGUAUUUUUAAUGUGUAAGCGAACGAAGAAGAUAUCCGAUACUUUAGGUUAGGUGUAAGAAGUUACCACGAUUGUUAAGUUUAACACUUAGUUUUAACAGAGCAUUUGUUUAAACCGUAAUGAAUUAUAAAUUAAGUUUUAUAAAAAUAUAUGUUAAUGAUGGAUACCGAAGACGGAUAGAAAUAAAAUUGUUUGAUAUGGAA
Bactrocera dorsalis (oriental fruit fly) is the source of this 3898-nucleotide RNA transcript. It is a transcript of the gene named pyruvate dehydrogenase (acetyl-transferring) kinase, mitochondrial, with no coding region annotated. The transcript has 8 exons. The record is from RefSeq and is a predicted model, not a curated record. Lineage: Eukaryota; Metazoa; Arthropoda; Insecta; Diptera; Tephritidae.